This 261-nucleotide ribosomal RNA is filed under the name uncultured archaeon. Its description in RNAcentral is "partial 16S ribosomal RNA". It matches the Rfam family "Archaeal small subunit ribosomal RNA", at positions 748 to 1008 of the family's 1478-position model. The record is from RNAcentral.
CAGCCCUAAACGAUGCGCGUUAGGUGUAUCGGUGACCACGAGUCACCGAGGUGCCGAAGGGAAACCGUGAAACGUGCCGCCUGGGAAGUACGGUCGCAAGGCUGAAACUUAAAGGAAUUGGCGGGGGAGCACCACAAGAGGUGGAGCCUGCGGUUUAAUUGGACUCAACGCCGGGAAGCUCACCGGAUAAGACAGCGGAAUGAUUGCCGGGCUGAAGACCCUGCAUGACCAGCUGAGAGGUGGUGCAUGGCGUCAGUGACU